GCCGCGGUAGCCCAACGGGAGAGGCAGCCGGCCCAAACCCGGCUCAGCGCGGGUUCGACCCCCGCUCGCGGUAC
Molecule: transfer RNA, 74 nt
Filed under: Phytohabitans rumicis
Lineage: Bacteria; Bacillati; Actinomycetota; Actinomycetes; Micromonosporales; Micromonosporaceae
Description: tRNA-Leu
Rfam family: tRNA
About the family: Transfer RNA (tRNA) molecules are approximately 80 nucleotides in length.
Source: RNAcentral